Long non-coding RNA from Mauremys reevesii (Reeves's turtle), 2095 nucleotides. RefSeq lists it as uncharacterized. The record is from RefSeq and is a predicted model, not a curated record. Lineage: Eukaryota; Metazoa; Chordata; Testudines; Geoemydidae. The transcript is spliced from 3 exons.
GAAGGCUUCUAAGGAAAGGAAGUGCUUAGAUAGCUGCAGGAAGUCUAGUUUGUGGGGAGCUAUGGGUUGUAGGCUGUCUGGAGAAGAGCUGUAGUUGGUAGGAUGGUCCUGGCUCCAGUGAAGGAAUCAGUGUUGAGAGAGAGUCUAGGUAUGGUGCAGAAGAAUGUUAAAGCAGCAACAGGAACAGGUAGAAAAAAAUCCCUGAGAUGACAAGAAUGCCCACAAAGAUGAGGAAGCAGAAGGGACCGAGGGCCUCCUGAAGACAAAAAUAAAAGAGAAAAAGAUGAACAAAUCCUCUUCUGACACUUACUCUCUUAGAUCCUUGAAGGUUGCUUUGUUUCUCAAGAAUAAGAAAAAAAUUCAGUCUAAAGAAGAAAUGUUUCUUUACAUUUCUAAUAUAUGUAUAAGACAGCAGAGGGUGGUUGAUGAUUGGGCCAGCUCACACCCUUCAUCUCAAGACUAUGUAUGCCACCUCUGCUACACAGCUGGCUUCCGCAGAACAGGGACUUUGAGGUGGGUUCAGAACACUGAUCACCUACAUGGCAUUGUAAUGUACUUGCUGUGCCUUGCUGCCUAGGACAGCCAUAAAAGGUGGUUUAAAUUGGGAGCAUUGAAGAAGAAAUCCAAACUGAAUUACCACAAUGACGGGGAAUAUCAUCCCAAUUACAAUUAAGCUCAUCCAGCCAGUGGUCCCAGCAAUCACAAAGGCAGAUGAUCGGGCUGACUGGUUGAAGAUUUCCAUCAUGACAGACAUGACUGCCCCAGCUGAAGAAGCAACAUGAAAAAGUAAUAAAGACAUUUAUGUGGGGUUUUCCCGUAGGAACUUUGGUCACCUCUUUCCCCCAAAAUGAAAAAAUGCAAAUUCAUACAAUUCAUAUUUAGGAGCUUUAUUUGAUCAAGCAGAACCCCAAAGAGUGAGUAUUUGUGCCCAGCACUUGGCAUAUAUGCGGAGUUCCUGCUUCUACUGGGGGCUAGUACCAAGACAGUUUGUCAAGGCACUCAUACACCAUGGUUAUGGCUAUGAUAUGAAAACCCGAAUAAAAAUCAGUGACAUACAAUACUGAUAUAAAAUAUCUGAGGUUCCAAUAACAAAACAUUGCCAUUUGUCAGGGACCUAGAAUUAGCUUUGGUCCCAAGUGAGGACCAAAAUCCUAGUAGGGAGUUGUAAGCUGGUUCUGGCAUUGCCAUUAUAUCUGAUUCAGAUUGAAAUUAAGAAAGGAUAAAGGGAUGCUAAGAGAAGGAACUGAACAUGCCGUCAGUUAACAAUCCUGAAUGGAGCUGGGCUUUUACUUGUGAGUUGAGGAUGUUGUAGGAUUCUGCUUCACUCUCUUCUCUAUGAAGAUGUAUUUACAAAGUCUAGUUCCAUUUCCAUAUACCCACCCAUAUUAAUGUGCUCAUAUAGUAUGAUCCAGAGGUUUCCUAUCACCACCUGAGUUUAUGUACUCACAUGGUCCAAUUCCAUAGGCGAUAACGAACAAGAAUAUGAGAACAACACUGCAGUAGGCCAUCCAGGAGAACUGAUUCUAGACACAAAGCAGUGAGGAGAGAAAGGGGGAAUUAAUAUGGUGGUAGAAUAACAUGCUCAUUACUUUCUACUCUCUGGUUUAAUGAUUGCCAAGGGUCUGCUUUACAUAUGGGGAAUAAAAUCACUUAUAUCAAGGGGUGGGAUGGAGGAGAGUUUAGCAGCUGAGGGGAGUGGCAGUGGGCCAUUCUUUUUGCCGGAGACCAGGGUAGCAAAAGAGAUUCAGGAGCUUAAAAGGGCGGGUGGAUGCUUUGCAUUGGGGGAAAAAGAGAUUUCCAGCAGCUGAGAUGAUCAUUGGGCAGCUGUCACAGCCACUUGUAUGUGGAGAGGAAUGUGAGAGGUGCUGGUGAAUGAGAAAGGAGACGGCAGGAAUGCUCAUUGCAAAGAUUUUUGACAACAGCAAGGCAAGAAUCACCCACUGGAGCCUGGUGUGUGAGGGGUUAGGUAGUAAGAAGAUUGGAGAAAUACUAGAUCAGGGCACCUUGCUUGUGGGACAGUUACUCUGGGAGGUGAAAUGCAGAUAAUGCCAGUUUAGGAGGAGGCAGCACAGAGACCACAGAGUCAGUGAGGACA